Brassica oleracea var. oleracea is the source of this 690-nucleotide long non-coding RNA. RefSeq lists it as uncharacterized. Lineage: Eukaryota; Viridiplantae; Streptophyta; Magnoliopsida; Brassicales; Brassicaceae. The transcript is spliced from 5 exons. The record is from RefSeq and is a predicted model, not a curated record.
GGUUUUGGAACCGCUAAGCACCCCACACGUGCCCUUUUUGUAUUGGUCGUCUCUCUCUUCGUGGUUUUAUUUUUCUGUCUCAGAUCCACAGUUCCGAAUGAUCUCGAAUCUUCUCGCCAUGAACAACACCGUGCUGAACUGCUAAGGUUUGAAGAUGAAGAGGUUGAAGAGAGCUAUCAAAGGCUGAGGGAAAAAGAGAGAAGCCAUGCGUAUCUGCGUAACUGUGCUAAGGCUUACUGCUCUACCAUGGACUAUACUGAUCUCAUCCCCCGUCUACGCUUGAUCAUGGCAAUGGAUUGUGCAGGUGGAGCAAAGACAUAAAGCUUGUGGAGUUGGACAUAAAGCUUGUGGAGCAAUCAAAUGUCAUUGAUGUGCCUGGGUUGUCUUAUAGAAACAUCCCUUCUAUUGCCUCAACUGCUAUUGGAGAGAUGGCUAUAUCCAAAGGAAGACAGGGAAGAGAAGCACAAAACCUAUUGAGGGUAUAUGGGGCGAAUAUUCAUCUUAAGGGAGUUGAAACAGAUGUCUUAGUUACUGCAUAUGAACAUAUUCUCAUCAAGCAAGUCUCACCAACGUUAACCUUGUUGUUGUUCAACAAUGUCUUUGGGUCUCAUGUGUUUUGUAUAUUGUGCAUAUGACAUAUUCUCAUGUUUUUCUUUCAUGGUUGUUUAAAAAUUUUAAUUAUAAAUUUGU